ACCCUCCAGAUUCCUUACCCCUCAGAGUGAAAUAUGGGUCUGAGAGACUAAAAAAGGAGGAAAAAUAAAACUGAAGUGGACGUGGAGUCUUUAAUGACACACAAAGUCAUUCCAAACAUUU
Molecule: small nucleolar RNA, 121 nt
Filed under: Echinops telfairi (small Madagascar hedgehog)
Lineage: Eukaryota; Metazoa; Chordata; Mammalia; Afrosoricida; Tenrecidae
Description: Small nucleolar RNA SNORA61 (ENSETEG00000025925.1)
Source: RNAcentral